UCCCUGGUGGCUCAGAUGGUAAAGAAUCUGCUUGUAAUGUAGGAGACCCAGGUUCAAACCUGGCAAAGGUA
RNAcentral lists this transfer RNA (71 nucleotides) under Bos taurus (domestic cattle). It matches the Rfam family "tRNA". Rfam says of the family: Transfer RNA (tRNA) molecules are approximately 80 nucleotides in length. RNAcentral also lists the same sequence under 4 other names. Lineage: Eukaryota; Metazoa; Chordata; Mammalia; Artiodactyla; Bovidae. The record is from Rfam by way of RNAcentral.